UCCCUCUACGCUUUUUCGUCAUACACACACUUGCAGACAUCUCCUUCACUCUCACACAUAAAUACGCAGACUCCUCCUUCCUCUCUCCUCCUCCUCCUCAUCAGUUGGUCCUGUGACUCCUUGCCGGGACGGUAUAACAGCAGUUUACAGAGCGUGGACCGGCGGUGGAUGGGGACGGAAAGUAGCCGCAGCAGCAGCAGCAGUCGGGCGCACCGACCGAAGCAUGCCCCAGCGCAGCCAUGACUUGCUCGGCGUCAGAUAGCGAGAAGAUCGUGAUCAACUGCGGUGGGAUCCGACACGAGACCUACCGGAGCACCCUGAAGACGCUGCCGGGGACGCGCUUGUCUUGGCUUACCGAGCCCGACGCCUACAGCAACUUCGACUACAACCCCAAGUGCGACGAGUUCUUUUUCGACCGCCACCCGGCCACCUUCGCUUUCAUCCUCAACUAUUACCGCACCGGUAAGCUCCACUGCCCCGGUGAUGUUUGUGGGCCCCUCUUUGAGGAGGAGCUUGCCUUCUGGGGCAUCGAUGAAACGGACGUGGAGGCGUGCUGCUGGAUGAACUACCGGCAGCAUCGCGACGCAGAGGAAGCCCUGGACAGUUUUGAGACCCCCGAGCCAGAAGAACCCUUAGAUGACCCGGCACUCACCGGCGGGGCAGAUGGUGACCUGAAGCGGCUGUGCAUGCAGGAGGAUGGCCGCAGGGCGACGUGGUGGCAGGUGUGGCAGCCCAAUAUGUGGGCGCUGUUCGAAGACCCCUACUCAUCCAAAUACGCACGGUAUGUGGCAUUUGGGUCACUCUUCUUCAUCCUCCUCUCUAUCUCCACCUUCUGCUUGGAGACCCAUGAAGCCUUCAACACCAUCUACAAUAAAACGGAGACAGUCAUCGAUGGAAAUGUGACACGUGACGAGAUCGUGUAUGAGGUCGUCACUGAUGGCUGGCUGACCUGGGUGGAAGGCACGUGUGUCAUUUGGUUCACCAUUGAGGUGAUGAUGCGUGUCCUUUUCUGCCCUGACAAGGGAGAAUUCUUCCGCAGCGCCCUGAACAUCAUAGACUUUGUGGCCAUUGUGCCAUUCUACCUGGAGGUGGCACUAAGUGGCCUCUCCUCCAAAACAGCCAAAGACGUGCUGAGCUUCCUGCGUGUGGUGCGAUUUGUUCGUAUCCUGCGUAUAUUCAAGCUAACCCGCCAUUUUGUUGGUUUACGAGUUCUUGGCCACACUCUGCGGGCGAGCACCAAUGAGUUCCUGCUGCUCAUUAUCUUCUUGGCGCUGGGCGUCCUCAUCUUUGCUACUAUGAUUUAUUACGCUGAACGCAUCGGUGCAGACCCUGAUGAUCCAACAGCUGCAGCCCACACAGCUUUCAAGAACAUCCCCAUUGGCUUCUGGUGGGCUGUGGUGACCAUGACAACACUGGGCUAUGGGGACAUGUACCCUGAGACAUGGUCUGGAAUGCUGGUGGGUGCUCUCUGCGCCUUAGCUGGUGUGCUAACCAUCGCCAUGCCUGUGCCCGUCAUUGUCAACAACUUCGGCAUGUACUACUCCCUGGCCAUGGCCAAGCAGAAGCUCCCCAAGAAGAGAAACAAGCACAUCCCCAGAGCACCGCAGCCAGGCAGUCCCAACUACUGCAAGCCAGAUGCCCUGGCAAUGGCAACUGCCUCACCGCACAGGCUGAUGGGCAAUGUUAUCGGGCCAGGCAUGGUGGGAUCUGGCAGCAUGAUGGGUACUGGGGACUGCCCACUGGCGCAGGAGGAGAUCAUAGAGAUCAACAGGGCAGACUCCAAACAGAAUGGGGAUGCAGCGGCCAAUGCAGCAGCCUUGGCCAAUGAGGACUGCCCCACCAUUGACCAGGUCCUAGGGGACGAGCGUAGCCCAGCAACUGGGGGUCUUGGCUCCGUCACCAGCCGUGAGCGUUACCCGCAUGACCGGGCCUGUUUCCUGCUGAGCACCGGGGAAUUCCAGCGCACGACGGAUGGGAACGUUCGGAAAGUAGGAGGCCCCAUGAACGGCUACUGGAGUGACAGCCCCUGGUAGAAGAAGACUGGACAACAAAAAGCCAAAUGGGAAGAAGAGGAGAGAGAGAACAUGAACAACAGACAGCAUACAAACCUAGAAAUAUGCAAUGUAGAUAAAUGAGACAGCAGUUGUGGGAUCUGCCUAUUUCUGUUCGGACAUGUAAUGUUGAAUCAGCAGCACACUGAACGAGUGUGCUGAGGAUAUUUGUGUGGGAAUGUGUGUGUCAGUGUGUGCGUGUGUGUGUGCCUAGACCUGCAUCUACCUUUGAACUAGGAUGCACAAAUAUGAUUUGAUGGAAAAAAUGACUUUUCUUUUUGUUUCUUGAGAGAGGAAAAAAAUCUUCAGUUUAGUUUUACUGUUACCUAUAAAGAAUCUAUAUGUGAUGAUGUCAUCCUUUCAGUGUGUGUAUGUCUGUACUUAUUUAAUUUAUUCUCCACAAAAUUGAAAGGUUGUUUUUUAAUGAAAAACAUUUAAACUGAUAUUUUCUGAUGUUGCAGCAAUGUCAUGUAACAUUGUCACACUUCUUAAUUGUUGUAGACAGUACUGAUGUGUCUUUGGUUAAGUUUAAUUUCGGUUUUAAUGUCCUGUAAUUAUCUCUAUAGCUCUCACCUUCUUUUUCUUCCGCCAGAAUGAAAAAUUCACAGAAAAAAAAAGGAUGUCAGUUACCUUGAAAUCAUUCCUUUUGUAUUAUUAUAGAUUCCCAUCACUUCCAACUUAGUAAAGACUGACUUAGUUUAGUUUAAGAAUAAAUGUGUCAAGAGACAGAUAGUACAAAUAUGCUAAUUGUGGAAGAAAAAAACAGCCGAGGAUUUACUUUCUCAGAUUAAUGUUUCAGAGCUCUGAAAGCAUCUCCUAUCUGUCACUUGUUUUUGCGUUCAGGCUGCAGUGUUGGAAGGUGAGAGCACCAAAUGAACGGAAAGGUUUCCCAAAUUGGGAAAAAAAAAAAACACAUACUGUGAUUCCUUUUUCUGCCGAGAGUAAGAUGAGGAAACAUAUCAAUUCAAUGCCUGUGCGGUGUAUUUGGAUCUUAAGCCAGAGAGCAAACGCCUGGCAUUAAAUCAAAGCUUACACCAACACCUCAAAGGUUUGUUCUUUUUUACCUUUCAUCAUCUUCAUUCAGCAAGGCGCAUCUGAACUGUCCUUUACAGCAUCUGUGAUACUGACUUGGAUGCUUAUUUUGACUUACAAAAAACAAAGUUUAAACUUAUUUCACCCACCACAAAGAUUAAAAGCAGACUUCUGAGAGUAUCAUUUAGUACCACCAAACACACAGCAUCCGUUUGACAUGGUUGCUGCUUAAUAGUCACAAAGAAGCUACACCAUAAAGCCUGCACUACUUUAUGUCUAUUUUAUUCUAUAAUAAACCUAAACCUACUGAAAGAAUAUCUUGCUACUUUAAAAGAGAGCGAUUGAGUCCAAAAACUAAUUUGGAAUUUUUUUGUGUAGAAUAACUAACUGAGUGAGACGUUGGGUCAUUUUCCCAUUGAUUAGCAUACAAUGAGGUUUCUCUUUACAAGUAGUGGUGUCGCCCCCUUUUGGUGGUAGCUUGAAUGCAGAUUUAAGGCAUUGUGGUACUGGUUUGUCUUUUGGAACCUUGACGCCAAUCUACUUAUAUACAGAAAAUAGAUCGACAUCUUAAUUAGUACACUUUAGAGGUGGUGGUGUAACUUUCACUUUAGUUUUCAAUCUGUAUGGCAAACAAUCAUCCUAAUGACUCCUAACUCUAGCUCUGCACUGCAGAGGACUGAGUUCACACCAAUGCCUCAUCUUGCUCUCAAAAAGAACAUGAAUACCCUUUUUGUCUGAAAUGUUAAGCUAUUCCCUUCACCUUAACUGAGCCUUAUUAAUGGCUCUGCAGGGUUUCCUGUUUCACCUCUUGUUCGAGCGGGGCAUCAGAAGUCAUAAUUUUGAAGUUUUGAAUUCAGCUCAUGCUCAGGAUUAAAUUUGCUACCCCAAAUGCACAUCAGACAGAUGAACACACACACACACACACACACACACACACACAAACAAACACAUGCAAAUAUGUAAACACAAAUGCCAGUCUCUCUUCUGAACCUGUCUAUUGUUCCCUACCAUAUCACCCUUUGCCUAUCCUCCCUUCACUUCCCAAAGUCCACUCCUUUUUAGUCUGUCAUUUCCUCAAGGCCACUGAGAUUUGUGUCCUUUGUCAUGAUGAUGUACAUAUGUAAAGUUUGUGUUUUAGAGUAAUCUGCAUGGGGAUUCCAUCGCAAGCAAUAAUGAUACUGAUAUGACUAAUAAUGUGAGGAAGUUUGAUAAGAUUUUAGUCUUGAUCAUAACGAAUGUGUAUAUAAUAUUUAGACUACUAAGAGUGUGUAUGAAUGUGUUUUAAGAUGCAUACAUAUGCACUAACAAAGCAUGCAGGACAAAAGAGCUUAACCUCUUUGAAUGCAAGAGGUAGAACAGGCUGACAUUAUGCAUGCCAAAAUGCUAGGAUGCUAUUGGUCGAUAAGGACCACGUUAGGUACUGUAACAGGGCUGGGUGGGGGUGGGAGAGUUUAUUUUUGCAGGACGGGCAGGGGCUUAGUUUCUAGUUGGUCUUGUAUAGCUGCUUUCUUAUCGAUCUCGAGAGACUUAUGAUAACAGAAACAUAUUAACAAUCGUAGCUUAUGAUUUUUCUUCUUUCUUUUGCUUCUCUUUUCACAGAGAAUUGUUCUGAAAGCCCCGUGCUUAUCAGAUAUAUGCAAAAAGAAGCAGUAACUGUGAACUAAUGCUUAAAAAAAUCCAGCUGCUUCCAUCACUGUCUCAACUCCUCUUCUGCAAGAGAGAGGAGAGACCCUUCUUCUCCCAAUAUACCUCCUUACCAAAAGUCCCCCUGUCCAUCAUUUCACGUGUCUGCUUCUUCAUCAUCUGUUUGUGACUUCACUCUGUUCAUGUUGCAUUGCAUUGCCUUCUGUCCUGUCCUGCCCUGUUCUCUACACAGGCCUUGUGAGUUGAGAGGAAGGAUGCCUCUGCAAUGUGAAAAAGCAAUAUUUCAAUGCAGCCUCUCACAGAGGAGGAAGAUCAGGGCCGGAUUAAUUUGCUAGGCCACCUUUGGCCAAUCUGACCUGUAGGCCCCCUUUCAUCAAACCCACCCUAACCCAGCUGACCAUGUAAGUUUGAACAAACCUUAAUUGAGUGUAACUUGAUUUGAAAUACUCAAUGUUAGUAAACACAGGGAUUUACAGAGAGUAUAAGCCUUCCCUUAAUUUGGGAAAACCGCCUGCAGAGGUUGAUACCUUUUACCCAUGUUUUAUUUGGGCCUCUUAAACAUUGUCCAUGUUAACGUUUGAUGACACUCCUGCUGUUAGGUCAAGUCUACAAACAACAUGAAUGGCAUCACACUCUGAAGCAACCAACCUUUAAAUGUUAACGACCAUAAAUUCAGGCUGAGGGGUGUGGGAGUCUGGUUGCAGAUGGGUGUUUAACUCUUUGGCUCAAAUUUAAAGUUGGUGCUUAUUUUCCAUAGAAAUUACCUUUUUUUUUACCUUAACCAUGCAUAUAGUGUAACCAGAUUUUAAAAAAGACUGAGGUUGAAUAGAAAAAGACGAACACUUCUCAUUAAAACAAAUUCAAUAUAACUGCUAUCAGGCAAGUCAAGGUUCUGCAGAAUCCUUAAUUAAAAAUGUUUGUGUGAUUAUUUUUCUUUCACAAUAUUAUACAAAAUAUUAUACAGGUUCAUUUUGGAAAACUAUUCUGCAAUUAAUCAAAUUGUCAAAUCAUCAUUAUUAUGAAGUUGCAUUGACUUCCUUGUGAGACACUGCACUGCUGAGGCAUCCCUUGAAAUUAGUUUUGAAUCCAAAUUUCUUCUUCCUCUCAUGCUUUUCCCCUUGUUACCAACAUUUUUUUCCUUUUUAUCCAUUCACAACUCAGGUAUCUCUUCUUCAAUCUCUCCUAUCCACCCAUGUUUCCUCAAAGAUGUACUGUAUGUCCGCAAAAGGCAGGGAAAGAAAAAAAAGAGCAUUUCCUAGCUUCUGUGCUGUUUUUAUUACUGUUGUUUUGUUUUCCAAAAAUGCUGUUUCGUAUUCUUCGUCCAACUGUGCUUCCUGUCUUCUCCUUGUGUAGUCCCACCACUUUCACCCCUUUCUUAAUAAUUUUGUCCUGCUUUCUGUGAGACGUUAUACCCCCCAACCCACCAUCCAACCCCCCCAACCCAGAAGUCUCCCAUAGCAUAAACCAAAAAAAGGAAAUUGAGUGAAAGUGGAGCACCUUCCCACCUGAAAAAAAGGUUUGCAAAACACUGGAUUUCACCAAGGAGGAAGACAGGAAUGGACAUUUCAAUGAACGAAAAAGACUGUAGAUGGUGUGGGGGGGAUGAAAUGUGGGAUGAAAUGAGUGUCGACUGUCAGCUGAGCUGCGUCAGAGGGAGGAAAUGAAGGAGGAAAAGUUUGGGGAAGACAGAAAAGUGUGGUGAUGAUAUGGAGGAGAAAAGAAAGAAGCGAGACUUCUCCAUUGCUUAGUUUCUAAUCUACCCAUUUCCCUACAAGAAGAGGGAAACAAUAAACGUUAAACCACUGUUCCUCCAUCUCCCCUGAUGAGAUUCACUGAACAAAAUGGGAGGGAGAUAGAGAGAAAAGAGAAAGAAAGAAUAUGAUAGAAAUGAUCACCGUUGCUGACACUCUGACCCAGACAUUUCAUCAUCUGUGUGACACAUUCAUAUGCAACCUCUCUGACGAUCACAGUGAAGAAAAGGCUUCUUCUGGGCUGUUUUCCAGAGCAAACCCCAGCAUGGAUGCUCCCAGUGUAGCAGUCAGAGGGCCAAUGACCCACUUGGAUAUGGAACAGGAAGGCCUUCUAUGCCCACAACUUUCUAUGAUUUGGUUGAGUUUUUUCUUCUUCUUUUUCUUCUUUUUUUUAAGAAGCUUGCAACUGUGGAUUUUCUCUGUUUAAUCCAUUAUUUUGGCACUCAAAACACUAUGCAAGGUGAGGAGUGGUCCAUCGUGAUGUCUGCUCCAGCAGAGUCUGAUCCAGUACUCAAAAGGCUACGCAGGCUGAGCUCGCCUGCUAAUCUCUGCUGAGCAACAGGACUUCUAACUGCAAGCUGAAAUCUACUCAUACAUAUCAGAACACAUUAGCCAUAUCACAUGUUUUUGACAUGAUCCCGUCUAUUUGAUAUCAUCUGGAUCUUCCAGGAGACAAUAAUGAACUUGGGACAUCGAGUUUAACUGGUUGUUUAAACUACAGAGAUCUCAGCCAAUGUCAAACAACCAGUUGAAUCCAACCUGUGAUGGACUUAAACCCAAAGACAGACACACGGAUGGACGUAACAGUUGGGGGUGAACAAAACCCCUCAGAGACACAAACUAUCCCUAACUUCUGCUAAAAAAAAGAGGACCUGUGAAUGGAAACGAACAAGUCUUUCUCUCUUUCUCACUCUCUCCUUCCCUCUUGGGUCAUUAUGGUAUCUUGACCCAUCCUUUCCUGCAUCUCAGCAAUGCUGCUGCUCCUCCUCUUAAGCAAAAAUGCAUGGCAUGAAUGAAACCAAUUAACACCAGAAGAAAGAAAGUCAAAGUCACAAUGGUUGGAAAAAGAAAGAAGAGAGAAGGGAAGGAGUCCAUGAGAAAUGGGGGGAAAGACCCUAAAUGUUCUUCUUCCCAGCAAUUUCAAUGCAAAUCAUCAUCAUGUCCAUUCAAGCUACUUGUAACCCCCCAAACUGUCUGCUUAUACGUGUAAAACAGCAUAUCCUGCAGCAAACUGCACUCUCAGAAGGUAUAAUGGAUGAGGAGGCGCUCCCUUCCCCUCCUGAAGGAAACGAAGAGGAGGGGGAGGAGGUUCUGCAGACCACCAAACUCAAUAGCUUCUCCCUCUGGGUAUGUGUAGCAAGAAGACAGAAGCUUUUUAAAGAAAGCAGGAGUGGGAGAACAUCUCUGAGAAACUAUUCCAGGGACAAAAAAAAUUGCAGUGAUUUCAAAUUAAAAUGCAUUUUUAUGACAUUGUUUACCAGCAUGACUAUUUUGCAUGACUUCUGCAAGCCAUUCUGACCCCCACCAUGAAUAACAGGGCUAGUAAUUGAGAUUUUAAACAUGAAAAUUAAACAAAAAAUUAUGUUAUAUGCAAUAAAUAAAAAAAUGUAACAUAGUGUUAAAAAAUGGUUUUAAUUACAAAACCCGAAUAAUGAAGAAAAAAAAGGGUGCAACAUCUACCCUGUGUUGUUUUCUUUAAGAAGAUCCCCAACCCUCGAAAAUCCAAGAAGACUUGUCCCAACUACUGCAAGUAUUUAUUCUGCUACUACAAGUUCAUCUACUACUACUACUACUACUUCUAUUUCUCACCUGGCUGAUAUUCUGCUUCUUCCUCCUCUUCUUCUUCUCUUUCUUCUUCCUUCCUCUUGUAGCCUUUUUACAACAACACUUGUAUGUAUCACUCUCCGAUGGCAGCUGUUUGUGUCUGUGUGAUAAUCUGGACCCAGAACUAUCAAGAUUAUAUUGAACUGAACUGUGCUGUCGACUUUGAGAUGUCCAUGUUUUUCGAUUCUCUGUCGAUCCUUCCCUUGGAAUUUUGUCUUGACCCUUAUAUAUUUGUGGCAGCACUGCAUUCAAGGUUAGAAUGGUCAUCUGAAAUCUGCGGUCAGGUUAAGUUAAGUAAAAUGCAAUGUAAAGUUAUUUAAGCCACACAGUGAUCCAAGAUGGCUGCCUCUUCAUCAAGGACUAUUUUCCUACUAGCUCAGCUUUCUUUUUUUUUUGGUCAUUCAGUUAUUCUCUGUAGUUAUAUAAGUUAUGAUAACUAAAAAUUAAUUCCUGCUUGAUGAGGUCAGGGUUAGGAUUUGGAGUACGGCAGAAGGAAAACUGAUAUCCAA
RNA transcript from Labrus mixtus (cuckoo wrasse), 8811 nucleotides. It is a transcript of the gene named potassium voltage-gated channel subfamily C member 1-like, with no coding region annotated. The record is from RefSeq and is a predicted model, not a curated record. The transcript has 6 exons. NCBI's taxonomy places the organism in Eukaryota, Metazoa, Chordata, Actinopteri, Labriformes, Labridae.